UGGGGAAUAUUGCGCAAUGGGCGAAAGCCUGACGCAGCAACGCCGCGUGGGUGAUGACGGUCUUCGGAUUGUAAAACCCUGUCUUCAGGGACGAUAAUGACGGUACCUGAGGAGGAAGCCACGGCUAACUACGUGCCAGCAGCCGCGGUAAUACGUAGGUGGCAAGCGUUGUCCGGAUUUACUGGGCGUAAAGGGUGCGUAGGCGGACAAUUAAGUCAGAUGUGAAAUCCCAGGGCUCAACCUUGGGGCUGCAUUUGAUACUGGUUGUCUAGAGUGCAGGAGAGGAGAGCGGAAUUCCUAGUGUAGCGGUGAAAUGCGUAGAUAUUAGGAAGAACACCAGUGGCGAAGGCGGCUCUCUGGACUGUAACUGACGCUGAGGCACGAAAGCGUGGGGAGCGAACAGGAUUAGAUACCCCCGUAGUCC
RNAcentral lists this ribosomal RNA (424 nucleotides) under uncultured prokaryote. RNAcentral's name for it is "bacterial SSU rRNA". It matches the Rfam family "Bacterial small subunit ribosomal RNA", at positions 355 to 796 of the family's 1533-position model. The record is from RNAcentral.